UACGAAGGGGGCUAGCGUUGCUCGGAAUUACUGGGCGUAAAGGGAGCGUAGGCGGAUAGUUCAGUCAGAGGUGAAAGCCCAGGGCUCAACCUUGGAACUGCCUUUGAUACUGGCUAUCUUGAGUUUGGGAGAGGUAUGUGGAACUCCGAGUGUAGAGGUGAAAUUCGUAGAUAUUCGGAAGAACACCAGUGGCGAAGGCGACUUACUGGACACAUAUUGACGCUGAGGUGCGAAAGCGUGGGGAGCAAACAGG
RNAcentral lists this ribosomal RNA (253 nucleotides) under uncultured bacterium. RNAcentral describes it as "partial 16S ribosomal RNA". It matches the Rfam family "Bacterial small subunit ribosomal RNA", at positions 524 to 776 of the family's 1533-position model. The record is from RNAcentral.